Molecule: microRNA precursor, 98 nt
Filed under: Prunus dulcis (almond)
Lineage: Eukaryota; Viridiplantae; Streptophyta; Magnoliopsida; Rosales; Rosaceae
Description: sRNA ncRNA
Source: RNAcentral
GUGGUGAUUUUCCCACUCCAAUUUUAUCCACUUACAUUCUAUUUUAUAACUGAAAAAAAGAGUGUAAGUGGAUAAAAUUGGAGUGGGAAAAUCAUUAC